CCCUUAGAUGUUCUGGGCCGCACGCGCGCUACACUGACGAAGUCAGCGAGCAUGUCCUACGCCGACAGGUGCGGGGAAUCUUGUCAAACUUCGUCGUGAUGGGGAUUGAUUAUUGAAAUUCUUGAUCAUCAACGAGGAAUUCCUAGUAAGCGCAAGUCAGCAGCUUGCGUUGAUUACGUCCCUGCCCUUUGUACACACCGCCCGUCGCUACUACCGAUUGAGUGAUCCGGUGAAUAAUUCGGACCGAUGCAGUGCUCAGCUUCUGAACUUUGCAUUGGAAAGUUUAGUGAACCUUAUCACUUAGAGGAAGGAGAAGUCGUAACA
Molecule: ribosomal RNA, 324 nt
Filed under: uncultured eukaryote
Lineage: Eukaryota
Description: partial 18S ribosomal RNA
Rfam family: Eukaryotic small subunit ribosomal RNA
Source: RNAcentral